This 443-nucleotide ribosomal RNA is filed under the name uncultured bacterium. RNAcentral's name for it is "partial 16S ribosomal RNA". It matches the Rfam family "Bacterial small subunit ribosomal RNA", at positions 338 to 795 of the family's 1533-position model. The record is from RNAcentral.
CCUACGGGAGGCAGCAGUGGGGAAUAUUGGACAAUGGGGGGAACCCUGAUCCAGCGACGCCGCGUGAGUGAAGAAGUAUCUCGGUAUGUAAAGCUCUAUCAGCAGGGAAGAAAGAAAUGACGGUACCUGACUAAGAAGCCCCGGCUAACUACGUGCCAGCAGCCGCGGUAAUACGUAGGGGGCAAGCGUUAUCCGGAUUUACUGGGUGUAAAGGGAGCGUAGACGGCUGAGCAAGUCUGAAGUGAAAGGCGGGGGCCCAACCCCCGGACUGCUUUGGAAACUGUAUAGCUAGAGUGCAGGAGAGGUAAGUGGAAUUCCUAGUGUAGCGGUGAAAUGCAUAGAUAUUAGGAGGAACACCAGUGGCGAAGGCGGCUUACUGGACUGUAACUGACGUUGAGGCUCGAAAGCGUGGGGAGCAAACAGGAUUAGAUACCCCGGUAGUC